RNAcentral lists this small RNA (180 nucleotides) under Gopherus agassizii (Agassiz's desert tortoise). RNAcentral's name for it is "TUC338 (ENSGAGG00000012949.1)". The record is from RNAcentral. Lineage: Eukaryota; Metazoa; Chordata; Testudines; Testudinidae.
UUGGCAGCCCUGGAGACUGAUAUCCUCAGUCCAUAUGCAUAGAUACAGCACAAGCAGUGGCAGUCCAAGCUUCCCCCCAACAUACCACCCCCCUGACAUUUCUCACACCUGGCCUAGAGUGAGCCCAUCAGUGGUGACAGCACAGUCCAGCCUCCAGGGUCCAUUCAAUCCUGGGCCUCU